UGGGGAAUCUUAGACAAUGGGCGCAAGCCUGAUCUAGCCAUGCCGCGUGAGCGAUGAAGGCCUUAGGGUUGUAAAGCUCUUUCGCUGGGGAAGAUAAUGACUGUACCCAGUAAAGAAGCCCCGGCUAACUCCGUGCAGCAGCCGCGGUAAUACGGAGGGGGCUAGCGUUAUUCGGAAUUACUGGGCGUAAAGCGCACGUAGGCGGACUGGAAAGUUGGGGGUGAAAUCCCGGGGCUCAACCUCGGAACUGCCUUCAAAACUCCCAGUCUUGAGUUCGAGAGAGGUGAGUGGAAUUCCGAGUGUAGAGGUGAAAUUCGUAGAUAUUCGGAGGAACACCAGUGGCGAAGGCGGCUCACUGGCUCGAUACUGACGCUGAGGUGCGAAAGCGUGGGGAGCAAACAGG
RNAcentral lists this ribosomal RNA (403 nucleotides) under uncultured bacterium. RNAcentral's name for it is "bacterial SSU rRNA". It matches the Rfam family "Bacterial small subunit ribosomal RNA", at positions 355 to 776 of the family's 1533-position model. The record is from RNAcentral.